UACGUAGGGUGCGAGCGUUGUCCGGAAUUAUUGGGCGUAAAGAGCUCGUAGGCGGUGUGUCACGUCGUUCGUGAAAACCUGCAGCUUAACUGUGGGCGUGCGGUCGAUACGGGCAUCACUGGAGUUCGGCAGGGGAGACUGGAAUUCCUGGUGUAGAGGUGAAAUUCGUAGAUAUCAGGAGGAACACCGGUGGCGAAGGCGGCUUCCUGGACACUUACUGACGCUGAGACGCGAAAGCGUGGGGAGAAA
This 249-nucleotide ribosomal RNA is filed under the name uncultured bacterium. RNAcentral describes it as "partial 16S ribosomal RNA". It matches the Rfam family "Bacterial small subunit ribosomal RNA", at positions 524 to 771 of the family's 1533-position model. The record is from RNAcentral.